This is a long non-coding RNA of Polyodon spathula (Mississippi paddlefish), 721 nucleotides long. RefSeq lists it as uncharacterized. The record is from RefSeq and is a predicted model, not a curated record. Lineage: Eukaryota; Metazoa; Chordata; Actinopteri; Acipenseriformes; Polyodontidae. The transcript has 3 exons.
ACGAAUUGAUUGUGAUGAAAUAGUAAUUUGUUAAGAGUUUUUUUUUUUACCGAGUGUUGCAAUGUUAGGCUGGCUAGUUUCAGUGCAUGCUAGCAGGGUGUCUCUAGCUUCCCACGUGUAAGCACUCGCUCGCUUUACUUUUCCUCAGGUCAGAUGUGCUCUGCGUGCAACAUAGAGAAGCCCAUCACCAUUCAUUCCAUUGUAUUCACUGCAUUUGUUUAAUCUAAUUUAGCUCAGUCUAUCUUUGGCUCUACCGAGGAGAGGUGUGCUCUGCGUGCAACAUCCAGGUUUGACGAGAAAAAAAAAAAAAAUCCGGAAACAUGAGGUUCCUGUAAAUUCUAGAUUAUUCCAGCAAGUUCCAGUACAUCCCAGAAAACCCAGACAGAGACUUACAGCUCAGGAUGGUUUCAACAAGCUCUAGUGUCCCUGUGUGGAUGGAGACUGACUACCCUGACGUGGUGAUAGGUGUCGGAGAAGUAACACUUGGGGAGAAAUUCAGGAACAAAAUGUCAGAUGGAAACAAAAAAAACGCUGAAAAAAACACACUUAUGAAAGUUGCAUGUGCUUUGCUAAACUCAGGUGGAGGAAUUAUAGUUGCAAAGAGUAAAAAUAAAGAUUACAAUUGUGCAACAGAAAGUACAGGUCAAGAUCUAGAACUAGGAUUUAGAGACCUUGUUAAGCCCUCCUCAAUACAGGACCACUUUUCUUUUUUGCAGCAGUG